RNAcentral lists this ribosomal RNA (465 nucleotides) under Vreelandella stevensii. RNAcentral describes it as "partial 16S ribosomal RNA". It matches the Rfam family "Bacterial small subunit ribosomal RNA", at positions 338 to 795 of the family's 1533-position model. Lineage: Bacteria; Pseudomonadati; Pseudomonadota; Gammaproteobacteria; Oceanospirillales; Halomonadaceae. The record is from RNAcentral.
CCUACGGGUGGCAGCAGUGGGGAAUAUUGGACAAUGGGCGAAAGCCUGAUCCAGCCAUGCCGCGUGUGUGAAGAAGGCCUUCGGGUUGUAAAGCACUUUCAGUGGGGAAGAAAGCCUUGGGGCUAAUACCCUCGAGGAAGGACAUCACCCACAGAAGAAGCACCGGCUAACUCCGUGCCAGCAGCCGCGGUAAUACGGAGGGUGCGAGCGUUAAUCGGAAUUACUGGGCGUAAAGCGCGCGUAGGCGGUCUGAUAAGCCGGUUGUGAAAGCCCCGGGCUCAACCUGGGAACGGCAUCCGGAACUGUCAGGCUAGAGUGCAGGAGAGGAAGGUAGAAUUCCCGGUGUAGCGGUGAAAUGCGUAGAGAUCGGGAGGAAUACCAGUGGCGAAGGUGGCCUUCUGGACUGACACUGACGCUGAGGUGCGAAAGCGUGGGUAGCAAACAGGAUUAGAUACCCUAGUAGUC